GUACCCCAAACCGACACAGGUGGUUGGGAUGAGUAUUCUAAGGCGCUUGAGAGAACUCGGGUGAAGGAACUAGGCAAAAUUGUACCGUAACUUCGGGAGAAGGUACGCCGCUGACGGUGACGAGACUUGCUCUCUGAGCUAUUGGCGGUCGCAGUGAAAAGGCCCCUGCAACUGUUUAUUAAAAACACAGCACUCUGCAAACGCGUAAGCGGACGUAUAGGGUGUGACGCCUGCCCGGUGCCGG
Molecule: ribosomal RNA, 244 nt
Filed under: uncultured Chlorophyceae
Lineage: Eukaryota; Viridiplantae; Chlorophyta; Chlorophyceae
Description: partial Bacterial large subunit ribosomal RNA
Rfam family: Bacterial large subunit ribosomal RNA
Source: RNAcentral